AUUGAACACUGGCGGCAGGCCUAACACAUGCGAGUCGAGCGGAUGAAGGGAGCUUGCUCCUGGAUUCAGCGGCGGACGGGUGAGUAAUGCCUAGGAAGCUGCCUGGUAGUGGGGGAUAACGUCCGGAAACGGGCGCUAAUACCGCAUACGUCCUGAGGGAGAAAGUGGGGGAUCUUCGGACCUCACGCUAUCAGAUGAGCCUAGGUCGGAUUAGCUAGUUGGUUGGGUAAAGGCCUACCAAGGCGACGAUCCGUAACUGGUCUGAGAGGAUGAUCAGUCACACUGGAACUGAGACACGGUCCAGACUCCUACGGGAGGCAGCAGUGGGGAAUAUUGGACAAUGGGCGAAAGCCUGAUCCAGCCAUGCCGCGUGUGUGAAGAAGGUCUUCGGAUUGUAAAGCACUUUAAGUUGGGAGGAAGGGCAGUAAGUUAAUACCUUGCUGUUUUGACGUUACCAACAGAAUAAGCACCGGCUAACUUCGUG
Molecule: ribosomal RNA, 484 nt
Filed under: uncultured bacterium
Lineage: Bacteria
Description: partial 16S ribosomal RNA
Rfam family: Bacterial small subunit ribosomal RNA
Source: RNAcentral